AAUGAGAUGAUUAAGAGUUAUUUAAUGGAGGUACAGCUCCAUUAAAAAAGGACACAACCUCGACUAGCGGAUAAAUCCUACACUAAACCUACUGUGGGCCUUAAAGCAGCCAUCAACAAAGAGUGCGUCAAAGCUCCACCACCCAAAGAUACCAAAACAAGAUGAAUCCCUUAUCAGAAACAGGUCAACCUAUGAAUAUAGGAGAAUUAAUGCUAAAAUAAGUAACUCGGGGCCACAUCAACCCCUCUAACGGCGCAAGCUUACAUGAGGACAUUAUUAACAGACCUAGACAUAUACAAAAACUCCUACAAGACCAGGUAUAAGCUUACACUGUUAACCCGACUCAGGAGCGCCUAUAAGAGCGAUUAAAAUCUGUGAAAGGAACUCGGCAAAACCACGGGCCCGACUGUUUACCAAAAACAUAGCCUUCAGCAAAUCAAGCAAGUAUUGAAGGUGAUGCCUGCCCAGUGACCCAGGUUAAAAGGCCGCGGUAUCCUAACCGUGCAAAGGUAGCGCAAUCAAUUGUCCCAUAAAUCGAGACUUGUAUGAAUGGCUAAACGAGGUCCUAACUGUCUCUCACAGAUAAUCAGUGAAAUUGAUCUCCCCGUACAAAAGCGGGGAUGUGAACAUAAGACGAGAAGACCCUGUGGAACUUAAAAAUCAACGGCCACCGCGAACCUACAAACCAACCCCACUGGGCCACUACUAAUCGCAAGGCAUGGCCGACAUUUUUCGGUUGGGGCGACCUUGGAGAAAAACAGACCCUCCAAAAACAAGACCACACCUCUUUACUUAGAGCCACCCCUCAAAGUGCUAAUAGCGACCAGACCCAAUAUAAUUGAUUAAUGGACCAAGCUACCCCAGGGAUAACAGCGCAAUCCCCCUCAAGAGCCCCUAUCGACGAGGAGGUUUACGACCUCGAUGUUGGAUCAGGACAUCCUAGUGGUGCAGCCGCUACUAAGGGUUCGUUUGUUCAACGAUUAAUAGUCCUACGUGAUCUGAGUUCAGACCGGAGCAAUCCAGGUCGGUUUCUAUCUAUGAACCACUCUCCCCAGUACGAAAGGACCGGGAAAGUAAGGCCAAUACUACAUGCACGCCUUCCCUCUAAAUAGUGAAACCAACUGAACUGUGAAGAGGAUCUCUCCCACCACCCCAAUCCUAGAAAAGGACCAGCUAGAGUGGCAGAGCUCGGCAAAUGCAA
Molecule: ribosomal RNA, 1201 nt
Filed under: Anas platyrhynchos (mallard)
Lineage: Eukaryota; Metazoa; Chordata; Aves; Anseriformes; Anatidae
Description: 16S ribosomal RNA
Rfam family: Bacterial large subunit ribosomal RNA
Source: RNAcentral